UACGGGGGGGGCAAGCGUUGUUCGGAAUUACUGGGCGUAAAGGGCUCGUAGGCGGCCAACUAAGUCGGACGUGAAAUCCCUCGGCUCAACCGGGGAACUGCGUCCGAUACUGGCAGGCUUGAAUCCGGGAGAGGGAUGUGGAAUUCCAGGUGUAGCGGUGAAAUGCGUAGAUAUCUGGAGGAACACCGGUGGCGAAGGCGGCAUCCUGGACCGGUAUUGACGCUGAGGCGCGAAAGCUAGGGGAGCAAACGGG
RNAcentral lists this ribosomal RNA (253 nucleotides) under uncultured bacterium. RNAcentral's name for it is "partial 16S ribosomal RNA". It matches the Rfam family "Bacterial small subunit ribosomal RNA", at positions 524 to 776 of the family's 1533-position model. The record is from RNAcentral.